ACUCUCUUCACCAGCCCGAUGGCCACGAAAGACAUGUGCACUAUCACGCCGACAAGCACUCUGGUUUCCAUGCUGACGUGAAAUACAGUGUGCACCACAUCGUACCCCAUAAGCACCACCACCAUGACCACCACCACCAUAAUUGAAUAUUUCUUAACCAAACAUGAACACUUGUCAUUCAAGUGUUUUGAAUGUAUUGUUAGUUAAUAUUGUAUAAUUUUUCAUCAGAGUAAAAGCAGCAUUCGAUAAA
RNAcentral lists this unclassified non-coding RNA (250 nucleotides) under Melitaea cinxia (Glanville fritillary). RNAcentral describes it as "misc RNA ENSMCXG00005014398.1". The record is from RNAcentral. Lineage: Eukaryota; Metazoa; Arthropoda; Insecta; Lepidoptera; Nymphalidae.